AGUGAACGCUGGCGGUAGGCCUAACACAUGCAAGUCGAACGGCAGCACAGUAAGAGCUUGCUCUUACGGGUGGCGAGUGGCGGACGGGUGAGGAAUACAUCGGAAUCUACUUUUUCGUGGGGGAUAACGUAGGGAAACUUACGCUAAUACCGCAUACGACCUACGGGUGAAAGCAGGGGAUCUUCGGACCUUGCGCGACUGAAUGAGACGAUGUCGGAUUAGCUAGUUGGCGGGGUAAAGGCCCACCAAGGCGACGAUCCGUAGCUGGUCUGAGAGGAUGAUCAGCCACACUGGAACUGAGACACGGUCCAGACUCCUACGGGAGGCAGCAGUGGGGAAUAUUGGACAAUGGGCGCAAGCCUGAUCCAGCCAUACCGCGUGGGUGAAGAAGGCCUUCGGGUUGUAAAGCCCUGUUGUUGGGAAAGAAAAGCAGCAGGUUAAUACCCCGCUGUUCUGACGGUACCCAAAGAAUAAGCACCGGCUAACUUCGUG
RNAcentral lists this ribosomal RNA (492 nucleotides) under uncultured bacterium. Its description in RNAcentral is "partial 16S ribosomal RNA". It matches the Rfam family "Bacterial small subunit ribosomal RNA", at positions 29 to 507 of the family's 1533-position model. The record is from RNAcentral.